This 275-nucleotide long non-coding RNA is filed under the name Lathyrus oleraceus (garden pea). Its description in RNAcentral is "Pisum sativum (pea) long non-coding RNA (PSAT_LNC032453)". The record is from RNAcentral. Lineage: Eukaryota; Viridiplantae; Streptophyta; Magnoliopsida; Fabales; Fabaceae.
GGUGAUGGAGAGAAACCAUUUGUUUUAUUUUUUUUUAAUUUGUUAAUAUAUUAUAAGGGAUUAAUUACUAUUUAUUGUUAAUGUAAAAAGUUUUAUACUGUCGAUUCAUCAUCAUCGUCCGUUUACAUUAUUUUAUAGAUUUUUAAAAUAAAAAUCAAAUUUAUUUCAAUAUCCAACGUUUAAAAUUAACUGAUGGUGUAAAAAAAAUUUAUACUGUCAAUGUAUUUCAAUUAAAUCCUUAAAAAUAUAGACAAAGAGAAAUACUUUAAUUUAUA